UCCGGCGUCGGCCGGGUGGGGAAGCGGGCUCCGGCCCCGCGUCGGGCUCCGGCCCAUCGUCGGGCUUCGGCCGCCCGCGUCGGGG
This 85-nucleotide transfer RNA is filed under the name Streptomyces capoamus. Its description in RNAcentral is "tRNA-Arg". The record is from RNAcentral. Lineage: Bacteria; Bacillati; Actinomycetota; Actinomycetes; Kitasatosporales; Streptomycetaceae. RNAcentral also lists the same sequence under 1 other name.